GGAAGUAAACGUCGUAACAAGGUUUCCGUUGGUGAACCAGCGGGGGGAUCAUUACGAGAGCCCCGAAAAGGCCAAAAACACCCGCGAACCUACCUUCUCUGCACGCUCCGGCGGGUCGCCCCAGGGGGGGCGUCGGCCGCAGGCACCCGCCGGAGCGCACCCACAGAAACUCCUCGAAAGUCUUCUGAGUACUGAAGCAAACGCUCACAACUUUCAACGAUGGAUCUCUUGGUUCCGGCCUCGAUGAAGAACGCAGC
Molecule: unclassified non-coding RNA, 257 nt
Filed under: plant metagenome
Description: partial contains small subunit ribosomal RNA, internal transcribed spacer 1, and 5.8S ribosomal RNA
Rfam family: Eukaryotic small subunit ribosomal RNA (bases 1-54)
Source: RNAcentral